AUUGAACGCUGGCGGCAUGCUUUACACAUGCAAGUCGAACGGCAGCACGGGUGCUUGCACCUGGUGGCGAGUGGCGAACGGGUGAGUAAUGCAUCGGAACGUGCCCAUGAGUGGGGGAUAGCCCGGCGAAAGCCGGAUUAAUACCGCAUACGCCCUUAGGGGGAAAGCGGGGGAUCUUCGGACCUCGCGCUAUUGGAGCGGCCGAUGUCGGAUUAGCUAGUAGGUGGGGUAAAGGCUCACCUAGGCGACGAUCCGUAGCUGGUCUGAGAGGAUGAUCAGCCACACUGGGACUGAGACACGGCCCAGACUCCUACGGGAGGCAGCAGUGGGGAAUUUUGGACAAUGGGCGAAAGCCUGAUCCAGCCAUGCCGCGUGAGUGAAGAAGGCCUCGGGUUGUAAGACGUCUUUCUAGGUGUAGAAGAAA
RNAcentral lists this ribosomal RNA (424 nucleotides) under uncultured bacterium. RNAcentral describes it as "bacterial SSU rRNA". It matches the Rfam family "Bacterial small subunit ribosomal RNA", at positions 30 to 453 of the family's 1533-position model. The record is from RNAcentral.